Molecule: long non-coding RNA, 493 nt
Organism: Gopherus flavomarginatus (Mexican gopher tortoise)
Lineage: Eukaryota; Metazoa; Chordata; Testudines; Testudinidae
Exons: 2
Source: RefSeq, a predicted model, not a curated record
UUUGGAAAGAGUGAUAAAAGAAUCAUAAGAGACACAUUUCACACAACCAUGCAUACAGUCUUUCUCCUCACUGACCUGUGCCUGUUACCGAACCUUGAACAUUUUACUUUACCACAAGGUCACCUUAGGAUUCCUUUAAUACUUAUUGCUUGUGGCUGAGGACAGAGAGUUCUGCUCAGACGCAGGUCAGGGGAGCACACAGACCGUGUCCGGAGAAAAUGGUAAGUUAAUAAUGGCUAGUAAUCCCUGUAGUAGAUUGUACUGGUAAUCAAGCUACUCUCCUUCCCUGCUUUGCUCUCGCGUUCCCCGAACAAGCAGGUCUCCUUGCCUGCGGUUUGCUGGGUGGUUCGGGGAACGCGAGAGCAAACCGCGGCGAAGCUGGUCUCCUUCCCUGCUUUGCUCUCGCGUUCCCCCAACAAGCAGGAUGAAUCCGCCCUGUUACAAUGGAGACUUUUCUAAAAACCACCUCAUGGGUCACUGUUUUAGGAAAGGU